CCUACGGGUGGCAGCAGUAGGGAAUAUUGCUCAAUGGGGGAAACCCUGAAGCAGCAACGCCGCGUGGAGGAUGAAGGUUUUCGGAUUGUAAACUCCUUUUGUUAGAGAAGAUAAUGACGGUAUCUAACGAAUAAGCACCUGCUAACUCCGUGCCAGCAGCCGCGGUAAUACGGAGGGUGCAAGCGUUACGCGGAAUCACUGGUCGUAAAGAGCGCGUAGGCGGGAUAGCAAGUCAGAUGUGAAAUCCUAUGGCUUAACCAUAGAACUGCAUUUGAAACUGUUAUUCUAGAGUAUGGGAGAGGUAGGUAGAAUUCUUGGUGUAGGGGUAAAAUGCGUAGAGAUCAAGAGGAAUACUCAUUGCGAAGGCGACCUGCUAGAACAUAACUGACGCUGAUGUGCGAAAGCGUGGGGAGCAAACAGGAUUAGAUACCCCAGUAGUC
Molecule: ribosomal RNA, 440 nt
Filed under: uncultured bacterium
Lineage: Bacteria
Description: partial 16S ribosomal RNA
Rfam family: Bacterial small subunit ribosomal RNA
Source: RNAcentral